Paramuricea clavata is the source of this 345-nucleotide non-coding RNA. Lineage: Eukaryota; Metazoa; Cnidaria; Anthozoa; Malacalcyonacea; Plexauridae. The record is from the annotation of a GenBank genome assembly.
GUUGAUAAUUAGAUGACAUAUGUUGCAAAUCCACUUUCCUGAACCAACAUAAUUCUGGGGGAAGGGAGUUCAGGGUAAAUAGGUGGUUCCAUUUAAAAAAUGCCCAUAUUUUCAUAACAUGUCUUCAAAUUUGGAUAUACCUUUCCAAUAGUCUGCGGAUAUUUUUUCCAAGAUUGUAGAUUUUGCAUGUUGUCGGUCUCUUUCAGUCAUUUAAAAAAUUAUCACCGUAAAAGAAUCUUCUAACAAUUUAGUUCACUAUCAUCAGCAUGUAUAUAUACACAUAGGUUCUUGCGAAAAAACAAACUUUAACAUGUUCAAGGUCACCUUUAUCAUGAUACACUGUAA